UUUACCCUCCAAUUCUACACUGGCAAAGAGCUACUCCCAAGGAUCCUAAACGCCUCAGCACUGCCAGCUUGCCCUACCAAUAGGCCAAUUGUACUCCAGUGGUCAGAGAAGAUCUCCUAUGGAAUCUCACAUGCCUGCUGCACAAAGCAACAGAGUAGAUGAGCAGGAGAAUGGUGGGUACUGAGCAGAUACUGACAAGACAUCAACAGCACUUGCUACAUCUAAUUCCCAUUAGACUGAACUCCAAAAUACCAGUAUAUUUAUCAUCUGAACAAAAAAAUGAGGGAAGGGAGGGAAACUAUCCUUGUAUGAAAGAGAAUGCUGCAUGUGAAAGAAGACUAAAGCAACAUUAUUUUAAAAGAAAACUUCCGGGAUCCCUGGGUGGCGCAGCGGUUUAGCGCCUGCCUUUGGCCCAGGGCGCGAUCCUGGAGACCCGGAUCGAAUCCCACGUCGGGCUCCCGGUGCAUGGAGCCUGCUUCUCCCUCUGCCUGUGUCUCUGUCUCUCUCUCUGUGUGUGACUAUCAUAAAUAAAUAAAUAAAUUUAAAAAAAAAAUUUAAAAGAAAACUUCCUGGGGCACCUGGGUGGCUGAGUCAGUUAAGCCACUGGCUAUUGAUUUCAAGUCAUAAUCUCAGGGGAUGAAAGCCCCACACCAGGCUCUGUGCUCAGCAGGACUGCUUGAGAUUCUCUUCUUUUCCCUCUGCCCCAACCCACCCACACCCCAACACACAUGCUCUCUCACUCUCCCUCUCUCUAAAAGAAAAAAACUUCCUUUCAAUUUUCUUGGGCCUUUUAGAAAUUAAUAUUAGAUUAGAGCAAGGAUUGGCAUGCAAGGACCCUCAAGCCAGAUCCAACCUGCCAACUGUUUUUGCACAGCCCCAAAGCUAAAAAUGGUGUUUACAUUCUUAAAUGGUUGGGAAAAAGUAAGAAGACUAUUUCGUGACACAUGAAAUUUAUAUGAUAUUCAAAUUUCCUUGUCCAUGAAUAUUUAUUAGAACACAGCUACAUUCAUUCAUUUACAUAAUACCAAUGGCUAUGCUGUGGAUGGCAGGAUUGAGUAGUUCUGGCAUGGACCAUAUGGGCUUCAAGGCUUUAAAGUUUUCCUCUCUGGCCCUUCACAGAAAGUUUGCUGACUGUAAUUUAGAACCAGACUCACUCUCGGGGAAUCUUUAGGAUAAUAGUGAUCUCCUGGGUUAUGGGAAGGGAAUUAUCUCCUCCUUUUUUUAAGGAGAAUUGAAAUCCUUUAUUAGGCGUCAUCUGAGCUUCUUGGAUAAGGAUGACUGCUAUUUUUUCCACCCUAAACGGAUCAGAGUAGAACAAAUAGACAGUAUCCUAUUACUGCCGACAUAAAACUUGUGAUUUCUUGGUGGUAAAGCAUGUACUAAGGAAUGAGAUUCUUACAAAUAGUGAUAAAAAUGGAAUAAACUUUAAGAUUCAGAAUUCCUGUUUUCUCCAAUAUGAAAUGUAACACUUUGCAAACACCUGCCCCAUUUUGAGCUUUUCCAGACACAAAUUUACACUGAAAACUAACAUUUGAACCCCUGAAAAAGAGCUAAUUUUGAGACAGGAGAUGAAAAGAUACCACACCAAGGGGCAACUAGAAAAAAAGAGAGGUUGAUGUCAGCAGGUAAGAGAGAGUUUAAUUAAUAUUAUUUUAUCAUCAGGCAUGAAGCUAAUAAAUUACUGAAGGAAUAAAGACUUAUAUAAACGAUCGGACAUUAGAGCAAAAGAAUUAAAACUGGUAACUUUCAUCAGAUCCUAAGGGAAUCCAGUAUGCCAUGUUUAAGCUGGCACCUAACCACAUGGUUGCUUUUUCAGUCAUGGAGGCAGGGACUAGAUAUGUAAACCAAGUUUUUUUCCAGGGAGUGUUUCAAUGUUCUAUGGGCAUGCUAUAAAUCAGCAUCGUGUCCCUCAGGAUGUCAAAGUCCAUUCUCAACGCCUUGUUUACAGGAGAACAUCAGUAUUCUCUGGGCACACACGUCAAUGUGAAGAGAACUUUAAAUAGCACAAGAGAAAAGUGUUCUUGGUAGUCACACAGCCUAUGAUAAACUUUGAAGUACAAAUGAGAAGUGGAAGUGAAUGUUAAACGUAUGCCUUGUCCUAAAACUUCAUGAAAAAUGAAAUGUACAAGAAAAGUUGGAUCCCUGCCAUGACACCCAUUACAGUGUAGACUAAGGCUCUGACCUUUUGUGUUAUACUUACUGUGUUUUUGACACAUUUAGUCAAUUAAAACGGGUGAAGUGUAAUUUGUUUUUCUUAAGUUUAAUACAGCAUGUCAAUAGAAGUUAACCAAAAUUUAUAGUUGGAACACUAAAGCUGCCACAUGCACUUAAACAAAUGAACACAAUUUAUCAUGGUUGAAAUAAAGAGAACAUCACGGGCAUUUGACUUUAUACUUCACAUAAGCGUGUUGCCAAAUAUAGGAAAGCAAGCUCCUUCUCACACUUCCAAUGGAAAAGACAUUUUAGUUCACAUUAAAUAUUGGUGUGAAAAAUCUGGCAGGUAUCCAGUCCUAAGGAGUGUUAACGUUGGCACUUCCACUGUGUACUUUUACUAUAAAUUGUUGUAGCGUUUAUUUGACAUGGAAUACCCAAAGGAUUGAUGAGCAAAGAAAGGAAGAUUUUUUUUAUUGUGCCAUAUUACCUUUUUCAGACAUCUAUACUAAGUCUUUACAUCUUCAAAGUCUAAACAAGUAGCCACCUGUAUUCAAUCGGUGCAAGAUAUUUUUCAUGAAACUAUAGCUUGCCUUUUUAUAAACCUAUAAAAGCACACAUUUUCCAUUUUAUUAGACAGCAAAGCAGUGGUGGAUUUAAUAAUAA
RNAcentral lists this long non-coding RNA (2817 nucleotides) under Canis lupus familiaris (dog). RNAcentral's name for it is "lncRNA (ENSCAFG00845017333.1)". The record is from RNAcentral. Lineage: Eukaryota; Metazoa; Chordata; Mammalia; Carnivora; Canidae.